UGUUUUAGUGAUGUCAGCUAGUGCAGUUCUCAAAUGGCUGCCUAUUAGGGAAAGAAUUCAGAGGAUUUGACUGCUCCUAAUCAUCUGUCAUUGCUGCUAGAUAAUGAUUGGCAAUUUUUAAGACUCAACUGGAAAUCUCAACAGUUGCUGGUAAACCAUUAACCAUAAAAACGUUGCUUUUGAACACCAGUGCUGAAAAAAAUAUUUUUUUUUUUUUUUUUGAGAGUGAAAAGGGCUUGGACUUAAGAUAGGACAAUGUGGAGAAUGGGGGGAAGAAUGCAAAACGAUAUAGUAUCCCUUAUGGAUGGUACAUGUGCAACAGGGAACUCUUACUUCAUAUACCCUUUGCAGUAAUCAUUCAGGGAGGAAGAAAAACCUGGAACUUGAAUGAAGGCUGAUCUUUGUUUUGUGCACUGUGGCCCUGCCAGGCAUAUAGUGAAGGUAAGAAUGAUUGAUGUUGGCUGAUAUUGGAGUGCUCAUUCACAUGAAGUGGAUAGAUACUUCUCAAGACAUCACACAGCGUGAGUCAAUCAAGGAGGGAAGCCACAAGCAGACUGACAACGUUUCUAGGAUCAGGUGAGCUGUGUCCAGAAAACCAACGAGAAGGAGUGGAAGGAGGAAUGAACGUUUCAUUCUCGUUAAUAAAGGCAUUAUCCUAAUUA
This 662-nucleotide long non-coding RNA is filed under the name Homo sapiens (human). Its description in RNAcentral is "non-protein coding lnc-SFPQ-2:8". Lineage: Eukaryota; Metazoa; Chordata; Mammalia; Primates; Hominidae. The record is from RNAcentral.